UUCCAGACUCCUACGGGAGGCAGCAGUGGGGAAUAUUGCACAAUGGGGGAAACCCUGAUGCAGCGACGCCGCGUGAGUGAAGAAGUAUUUCGGUACGUAAAGCUCUAUCAGCAGGGAAGAAAAAAAGUCCUCUGGACUUUGGACGGUACCUGACUAAGAAGCCCCGGCUAACUACGUGCCAGCAGCCGCGGUAAUACGUAGGGGGCAAGCGUUAUCCGGAUUUACUGGGUGUAAAGGGAGCGUAGACGGCAGCGCAAGUCUGGAGUGAAAUGCCGGGGCCCAACCCCGGAACUGCUUUGGAAACUGUGCAGCUGGAGUGCAGGAGAGGUAAGCGGAAUUCCUAGUGUAGCGGUGAAAUGCGUAGAUAUUAGGAGGAACACCGGCGGCGAAGGCGGCCUGCUGGACCGCGACUGACGUUGAGGCUCGAAAGCGUGGGGAGCGAACAGGAUUAGAUACCCGCGUACA
RNAcentral lists this ribosomal RNA (465 nucleotides) under uncultured bacterium. RNAcentral describes it as "bacterial SSU rRNA". It matches the Rfam family "Bacterial small subunit ribosomal RNA", at positions 329 to 797 of the family's 1533-position model. The record is from RNAcentral.